UAGUAUGGGGAUCUGCCCGAUAGAGGGGGAUAGCUACUGGAAACGGUGGCUAAUACCGCAUAAUGUCUACGGACCAAAGCAGGGGCUCUUCGGACCUUGCACUAUCGGAUGAACCCAUAUGGGAUUAGCUAGUAGGUGGGGUAAAGGCUCACCUAGGCGACGAUCUCUAGCUGGUCUGAGAGGAUGAUCAGCCACACUGGGACUGAGACACGGCCCAG
Molecule: ribosomal RNA, 218 nt
Filed under: uncultured bacterium
Lineage: Bacteria
Description: partial 16S ribosomal RNA
Rfam family: Bacterial small subunit ribosomal RNA
Source: RNAcentral